CCUACGGGUGGCAGCAGUGAGGAAUAUUGGUCAAUGGCCGGAAGGCUGAACCAGCCAUGCCGCGUGAAGGUCAGUGCCCUAUGGGCUUUAAACUUCUUUUGUGCGGGAGCAAUAAUGGUCACGUGUGGCCAGACGAGAGUACCGUACGAAUAAGCAUCGGCUAACUCCGUGCCAGCAGCCGCGGUAAUACGGGGGAUGCAAGCGUUAUCCUGAUUUAUUGGGUUUAAAGGGUUCGUAGGCUGUGAGGUAAGUCAGCGGUGAAAUGCCCCCGCUCAACGGGGUGAAGUGCCAUUGAUACUGCCUGUCUGGAAUGCGGAUGCGGUGGGAGGAAUGUGUGGUGUAGCGGUGAAAUGCAUAGAUAUCACACAGAACACCGAUUGCGAAGGCAUCUCACGAAUCCGCGAUUGACGCUGAUGCACGAAAGCGUGGGUAUCAAACAGGAUUAGAUACCCUUGUAGUC
RNAcentral lists this ribosomal RNA (460 nucleotides) under uncultured bacterium. Its description in RNAcentral is "partial 16S ribosomal RNA". It matches the Rfam family "Bacterial small subunit ribosomal RNA", at positions 338 to 795 of the family's 1533-position model. The record is from RNAcentral.